AUUGAACGCUGGCGGCAUGCUUUACACAUGCAAGUCGAACGGCAGCGCGGGCUUCGGCCUGGCGGCGAGUGGCGAACGGGUGAGUAAUACAUCGGAACGUGCCCAGUAGUGGGGGAUAGCUCGGCGAAAGCCGGAUUAAUACCGCAUACGACCUGAGGGUGAAAGCGGGGGAUCUUCGGACCUCGCGCUAUUGGGGCGGCCGAUGGCAGAUUAGCUAGUUGGUGGGGUAAAGGCCUACCAAGGCGACGAUCUGUAGCUGGUCUGAGAGGACGACCAGCCACAAUGGGAAUGAGACAAGGCCCAGACUCCCACGGGAGGCAGCAGUGGGGAAUUUUGGACAAUGGGCGAAAGCCUGAGCCAGCAAUGCCGCGUGUGUGAUGAAGGCCUUCGGGUUGUAAAGCACUUUUGGCGGGAACGAAAAGGACUGUGCCAAUACCACGGUUGGAUGACGGUACCCGAAGAAUAAGCACCGGCUAACCACGUGC
This 485-nucleotide ribosomal RNA is filed under the name uncultured bacterium. RNAcentral describes it as "partial 16S ribosomal RNA". It matches the Rfam family "Bacterial small subunit ribosomal RNA", at positions 29 to 508 of the family's 1533-position model. The record is from RNAcentral.